RNAcentral lists this long non-coding RNA (3798 nucleotides) under Homo sapiens (human). Its description in RNAcentral is "HSALNT0303191". Lineage: Eukaryota; Metazoa; Chordata; Mammalia; Primates; Hominidae. The record is from RNAcentral.
UUAAAUCUAAAAAGAGCCUCUCACCUGAGGCCUUCACCUGAGAGCUGGAGCCUGUGCGAUGGAUUAUCUGGACAGGGACCCCAAUGAACAGGGCUCUGCUGGAGUGAGGAAGCUGACUGAGGGAAGAACCAGAAGGCUGCCAAAAUGUCUGCUGCUGGGGAAACCAAACCACAGUAACUUCAGAAAUAUAUACUUGGAAUAUGUCAUGUAUUAAUGGGUAAAGACACCGUGGAUAUGAAGGAAAUCACCUAUGGGAGAAUAUUAAGAAGAGAAGAAGAUGCUCUCCACACCAGUCCAUGGCUGCCGUGGUGUCAAUGAUUCAGGACUGUUUUUUUAAUCUCUUCAAUUCCUCUUCCAGAGACAUGAAGUUAAAACCAGGUACUAUGAGUGCUCACUUAAUAUUUGGUUCUUACGAAGGUAUUUUUUCUAUGUAGAUAGUUGUAAACUUGGUGUCUUGCUGGGGGUGGUGGCGGGAACAAUUGGUGAAACUUUCGAUUCCACUAUUUUGCUCUGCGUCUCUUCAGCACUAGUGUUUAUACUUAGUACCUUUUCUUUAUACUAAAGCCUUUCAAUACCCAGGUGAAAAUAAUACAGGAAAAAUGUAUUUGAACAUGAAAACAACUAUUUAAAGGUAUGGUUAGGAAUUUUGUGCAUAUAUUGCUAUACAUAUACAUUGUAUGUACAUACAUGUACAUUCUUAUAUAUAUUUUAUAUUUAUAUAUUUUGUGUGCAUAUAUACAUAUGUGUGUGUAAUCAACACACUUAUAAGUGUACUUAUAAGUGUUCAAAGUCAUUUUCCCAUGUACAGUUUCCCCUUCUCUUUUAUAUCUCUAUUGUGUCCUAUACUUUGUUUUUAGAGGCAUACUGUUUGCAAAGUUUACUUAGACAAAGAAAAAAGUUUUUCUCAUACUUUUUCAUGAAAUGAUAUUAUACUUGCAAUAAGAGGCACCAACUUUAGUAGAAACCUGAAAUAUGUUUCUAAUAACUCAUCAUAGUUAUGCUCCAUAUGACAAUAAUGAAAUUUGAAUGCUUGUGGUGGCUUUAGGUGGUGGCUGUGCAGAGAUGGAGAGUGCUGGGUCAGUCCUAGAUAAAGGUCAAUGGCCAGCAGGUACAAUCUGUGACUAAAUAGCCACAUUCAGAAGAAAAAGUGCCAACUGGUAUUGAAAGUUUAUGAAGUGCCACCAAGAAGAUGUUCUGAAAAUUGUUGUUUAAUGAAAGAUUGAAAUGAACAGAUAAAGAAGUUGGUUAGAUUACAGGAAACUGGCUUCAGGUACUUCAUAAAAGUUUUUCCUAAUGAUUUUCUCUUGUUUAUGCACUAUAUCUAUCUAAUUGUCACCUUUGUGUUGGAUUAAGUGUACCACUCAUGUUAAAGUUGAGUCUCAGGAUAAAAAUCUCUCCAAAUCAACCAUGUAUUUGAGUUCUGCUUUGGAACCAUCAGAAGUCUAGUUCAAUUCAGCUCUUGUUAGUGUGGAGUCAGGGUGCUGGUUUUCAAUAGAAACUAGGAUCACAUCCUGAUGCAGGGUGUGUGGGGUUAUCCUGGAACAGCAGGAGAGCAUGAUCCAGGAUGGAAAACCAUGCAUGGGAACCACAGUGGAGCAGAUGGCUUCUAUGUAGCAAUCACUGCUUUGCUGGGAUUGUCAGAUAAACCAGAGAUGGCUCAGACUUGGUCUUUCCCUAAGGAGGCAUUGCUUAUAGAUGGUAAAUAUUUCACCAGCAUUCAGCUGCUAAGGUGGGGUCAGGAAGGUCAACUGGAGCUUUGAGAAUUUCUAGCUCAGACCUGAAGCUAUCUCAGGGAAUUCAAUAGUAAGGGGUAAGGUGGAGCAGCAAAGAAAAGAACCAAAAGGAAGUGUUCUGGAUCCUCCAUUCCUACUUCAACUAGGGCAACCCCAUAUCAUAUUUCACUUAAACAAAUAAAUUUACCUUAAAAACUACAUUAAGUACCUCUGCUUUCGAUGAUUAUUUAUGUGAACACCGAGGUAGGGGCACAUAUUUUGCUGAUAAUAAAAAUGAUCAUUGUUGAUUAAACUGCUUUGAGGCAUUAGCAGGUUUGUUAUAGGAAAAAUCAAGACAGAACAACACAUCCUGUGGUGUCUGGACAGAGCUGACCCUGUGCAACACAGACCUCAAUGGACCCUGAUAUCUUCUUGGUUAGUUCCAUGACUUGACUAAAUGGGGGCUUGGCUAUCUUGACAGAGUCUCAUUCCAGCCCUGUUCACAUGCUCGGUGGUUGUGGAAAUACAGACUCCAAGUCAUUCAACACUUUUAGCACCUUCCUGAGACCAUUUACUCUCUAAAAUGGAGUCUACCUGCUUCCACCUGAGAGCUAAAGAACCUUCUCUUUGAUCAAGCUGAGUUCCAGAGUUCCAAGUUUCCCAGGAUUCAGAGAUCCCUGGCCCAGCUGUGAUAUGCAGUCUCAAAACACAAAACAUCUGGAGAGAUGAUAUGAACAGUUCAUCUUUCCCUAUUUAUAUUUGAAGGCUAAGGCAAUGUUUAUGGAAUAAAGAAUUUGUUUAAAUGAAUGUCUGAACAUUAUGAAUUCCUUGUUAUACUUUAUCUGGCUUCACAAUUGAUGUAGUGAACCAAGAUCUCUCUAUACAUAUACUCACAUGCAUACACAUACACAUAGGCUUAUAGUCAUAAAGCUAUAUAGUCAUAUAUACAUGUAUCUAUAUAUCAAAAAAGAGAUUGUUAUUUUUCUUUAUGUACCUAGGGAAAUCCCUGAACCUAUUAAGGCCACUAUAUUCAUUUCUCUAAAGUCUAAAAGCAGACUGGAAGGAUGGAAUAUGAGUAUAACACGAAAGUAAUAUUUUUCACAAAGUCAUGGCUAUUAAGAACCUUAUAGUCUUUGAGUGGAGUGUAUAAUUUGAAAUUAAAGUUUCAUAACUGAGUAUCCUUCUUUUUAGAAGAAAAAUGUUCUCAUAAAUCUGUUACCCAAAAUGCUUUUGAAAGAAAAUUUACCAUUUUCUUCAACUUUAAAAUCAUACUUGCAAGGGAAGCUCUGUGCAGAGAUGUUUGGCAUAAAUAUGAAUGACAAUAUAUAAAAACUAUUACCACACUACUAAAAAAUGUUGGGCAGCUUUGACCUGGUUAUUUGAUUGAACUUUCUGAAUCUGAUUUGUCAACUGAAGACAAGUAAAAGUUUUUUUACAAAUUCUAUCCUUAGCCUCUCAAUUAAUCUCAAAUAUUUGUUCAGAGAAAUAAUUGAAAAUUCUGACUGUAUCCUGACUGAAAUGUGGAUCACUGGGGGCCUCAAAGCUUCAGUGUGUUUAGUUCCCUAUGGUUUUGAGGCACAUGCCCUAUGUGAACCUUUUGAAGGACAGAAAAAUUCAUAACUGACUAGCAAUUGGUUAACUUUAGUUAAAAAGUGAAACACCUACUCUAGUGGUGCAAAAGAUGUCUGCAAAGGGCAAAAUCUUCAGCUUUGAAAGGCAUUCAGCAAUGUCAAUAGACUAGCACUUGAGAGUCACCUAAAAUUUAUUUGUAUUACUUUUCACCCAAUUUUAAAGAAGAAUAUUUCUAAGAUAAAAGCUUAAAACUUUUUAAUUAAAAAAAAAAAACUAAACUCAGUACUCCUAAGCCUUCAUAGAUAUAUACUUCAGUAUCUUGCAUGACAUUGAAAGCUCUAAUAACCAAAUUCUUUCCUGACUCCUAAUUAUGUGUCCUUGUUCUUCUGUUUAAAGUAACAUUUUGUGUCUAUUUGUGUAUAUGCAUGUGUACACAUUUGUGUGAGUUCACAAAUGAUUACUCUGAUGAAUGUUAAUUUAUAUCAAUCUAACCAAAAUAAAAUUAGAGAAAUCU